CUUGAGAGUCAGAGGAGAAUUUCUUAGCAAUUAUUUCCCAGUGACAUGACACCCACCGCAGGAGACGGUGCGCGGCUGUCAGAAAACGACAGCUUACAUUCUUCGGCUUUACUAACCUUUGCUCUUUGAAUCUCCUUGUAAGAGAGAGGGAGCUGGCCUUGGGUGCAGCGCGAGGCCGGUUAGCUUUUAACUUUGUGUGUGGGUCGCAGGCACUGGCCGCGCGUGGAGCUCCUCUCCGGCUGGAGGCGCGUCCAGCCUCUCGCCAGCCCAGGGCGCGGGGUCUUGAGCCUCCCAGCCAGCUUCCUCCGAGUUAGCGGAGCAAGGCCUCUCUGGUUCUGCCCCUGCUCAGAAAUGAAUAAUCUCUGUACCAUUAAGGGAUGGGCUGAAAUCUUAUCUGCCGGGUGGGAACGGAGGGAUCCAGUUACAGGGAUUGCCUGGCCCUCGAAGAACUGGUAAUCCCAUUCGGCCUCUCGGCAGAGUGUGCUUUAGCGCCCACCUGAGGUCCUGUGACCCCAUUGCAGCCAGGUGUCUUUCCCUGCCUGAGAGAUACAGGCAAGCCUGGCUUGGCUAUUGGGUGGGGACCACCAGGGCCCAGAAUCGCCCAGAGAUCCCCGCUGGGCUCUGUGGGAUUGCUCUUCCCUUUCAAGUCACUUUCUGAUUGCUUCUGCAUUAAUGCAAUCUUCAUAAUGGGUACCAACAAACAGCUCUAGGAGGGAGUUUGCAAGGGAAGAAAAGGGCGCCCCCUAACGUUGUUUUCGUUGUUCUUCCCUUCAGCAAAAUGAGGGUUUAUGCAUUUCUCUAGCUGGGCAGAAAGAAAAGCAGCUACCUCAGCACGCUGCAUUCCUCUCUGAUGGGGGCAAGCAUGAGGCACCCAAUGAAAUGAGUUCACCCUGGGCCAAGCCAGGAGUGCAGGAGUGUUGGAGAGUCGUAGUCCCUGAAGAAGGCCAGUGGAUGUUAAGAUUCUUGAGUCAAAUUUGUCCCCAGUGUAGCCUUCCUCUUCUCACUUCUCCACAGACACUGCACUGGUUUCAGCCACCAGCAUUUCCUGAGUGUGAUGCACAGUGACCUGGCCUCCCUGCCCCCUUCUUGUCCUAUAGUCCCUUUUUGACGGAACAGCCAACAUCGAUUUAAAAAUUAAACUGGACUAUAGCACCCUUUGCUGAAAAGUCUCCAAAGGCUUCCCAGCCACCCUUAGGAGGGAAUACACAUGCAUCACCACGGCCUGAGGGGCCAAUCUGAGGUAGUCUUUCCCUGACUCUGAGACCUUCUCUCCUUCAACUUGCCUCCUCCUCCUACUUUGGGAUCAGCCACACGGGACUCAGACUUGCUUAGUGUGUGCCGGGCUCAGCACCUCUGGACUGGAUGGGCUUCUGCCUUGAGUGCUCCACCCAGAUUUGUAUGAGGUUGGCUCUGCUACAUGCAGAUGACUCAGAGGCUCUCCAAGCAGCCUUCUUAAGGUGACAAGCCAUCGUGAUAGCAGCCCUCCACACGCCUGUGGAAAUGACCCGUUCACUACCCUGGGAGAUGUAUGGCAUGUACCAGCACUGUCCACGGUUCCUUCUCUUGAAAUACUGCUGCUGAAAGUGUCCGGGUGAGAGGUCUCCAGCCCGUGCGAGCCAACCAUGCCCACAUUGUACUGCUCUGUGCCCCCGGGAGCUCCUGUCGGUCUAAGAUGGAAAAGAACAAUAUUCAUGAUGAUGGAAGCUUCAGGAAUGCUGUUUCCUCCAUGCUCAUUU
Long non-coding RNA from Pipistrellus kuhlii (Kuhl's pipistrelle), 1736 nucleotides. RefSeq lists it as uncharacterized. The transcript has 3 exons. NCBI's taxonomy places the organism in Eukaryota, Metazoa, Chordata, Mammalia, Chiroptera, Vespertilionidae. The record is from RefSeq and is a predicted model, not a curated record.